RNAcentral lists this ribosomal RNA (304 nucleotides) under uncultured bacterium. RNAcentral describes it as "partial 16S ribosomal RNA". It matches the Rfam family "Bacterial small subunit ribosomal RNA", at positions 506 to 807 of the family's 1533-position model. The record is from RNAcentral.
CAGCAGUCGCCACGGGAAUACGAAGGGGGCUAGCGUUGUUCGGAAUUACUGGGCGUAAAGCGCACGUAGGCGGAUCGAUCAGUCAGGGGUGAAAUCCCAGGGCUCAACCCUGGAACUGCCUUUGAUACUGUCGAUCUGGAGUAUGGAAGAGGUGAGUGGAAUUCCGAGUGUAGAGGUGAAAUUCGUAGAUAUUCGGAGGAACACCAGUGGCGAAGGCGGCUCACUGGUCCAUUACUGACGCUGAGGUGCGAAAGCGUGGGGAGCAAACAGGAUUAGAUACCCCGGUAGUCCCUGUCUCUUAUAC